GUCAGUGUGGCCGAGCGGUCUAAGGCGCCAGACUCAAGUGGAGGCACUUACUGGGAUUUCUGGUCCUCUGACGAGGGCGUGGGUUCGAAUCCCACCGCUGACA
Molecule: non-coding RNA, 103 nt
Organism: Hydatigera taeniaeformis
Lineage: Eukaryota; Metazoa; Platyhelminthes; Cestoda; Cyclophyllidea; Taeniidae
Source: Rfam